GCUGGGUAUGGUGGCACACGCCUGUAAUUCUAGCCACUCAGGAAGCUGAGGCAGGAGGAUUGCUUGAGCCAGGGAGUUCCAGGCUGCAGUGAGCUGAGGAUGUGCCACUGCACUCCGGCCUGGGCAACAGAGCAAGACCCUGUCUCUU
This is a non-coding RNA of Homo sapiens (human), 148 nucleotides long. It matches the Rfam family "Metazoan signal recognition particle RNA". Rfam says of the family: The signal recognition particle (SRP) is a universally conserved ribonucleoprotein. It is involved in the co-translational targeting of proteins to membranes. The eukaryotic SRP consists of a 300-nucleotide 7S RNA and six proteins: SRPs 72, 68, 54, 19, 14, and 9. The record is from Rfam. NCBI's taxonomy places the organism in Eukaryota, Metazoa, Chordata, Mammalia, Primates, Hominidae.